GUGGGGAAUCUUAGACAAUGGGGGAAACCCUGAUCUAGCCAUGCCGCGUGAGCGAUGAAGGCCUUAGGGUUGUAAAGCUCUUUCAGCUGGGAAGAUAAUGACGGUACCAGCAGAAGAAGCCCCGGCUAACUCCGUGCCAGCAGCCGCGGUAAUACGGAGGGGGCUAGCGUUGUUCGGAAUUACUGGGCGUAAAGCGCGCGUAGGCGGACCAGAAAGUUGGAGGUGAAAUCCCAGGGCUCAACCUUGGAACUGCCUUCAAAACUCCUGGUCUGGAGUUCGAGAGAGGUGAGUGGAAUUCCGAGUGUAGAGGUGAAAUUCGUAGAUAUUCGGAGGAACACCAGUGGCGAAGGCGGCUCACUGGCUCGAUACUGACGCUGAGGUGCGAAAGCGUGGGGAGCAAAUAGGAUUAGAAACCCCUGUAGUCC
RNAcentral lists this ribosomal RNA (425 nucleotides) under uncultured bacterium. RNAcentral's name for it is "partial 16S ribosomal RNA". It matches the Rfam family "Bacterial small subunit ribosomal RNA", at positions 354 to 796 of the family's 1533-position model. The record is from RNAcentral.